Molecule: long non-coding RNA, 2010 nt
Filed under: Nicotiana tabacum (common tobacco)
Lineage: Eukaryota; Viridiplantae; Streptophyta; Magnoliopsida; Solanales; Solanaceae
Description: long non-coding RNA (NTAB_LNC002982)
Source: RNAcentral
CGCAAUUAAUCACGCUUUAUUAAUAUUAAGAAAGUUUAGUCAAAGUUACGCAAACACAUACUCCGAUUUUGUUUUUAAGAUCGUAAUUAUGUCACGCGAACGUGUACACAAUCACGAUGAUUGAUUUAUUAAUAUCCGCCUAAAGUAUACUAGCUGUGUAUAGUUAUUGAACAUAUAGGCCAAAGAUAGUUUUUAGUUCUUGUUAGUCUCAUUACCCAAAUUCUAUUCGAGCUAAAAUGGUUACUUUACUAGGUCAAUACAGCAGGACAAAGCCAAACCUCCAUUCGCUCCUAUUAGCACCAACUCCAUAGAUCCGAUUUACCUAAUUAAACAAUUUACAUUAAACAUUCAUUAUCUUACCUAAAUGAUGAACAAUAGACAACAGUUAAGUAUUUAAACUAAACUACAACAAAGCAAUUAUAAAAAAAAUAGAAUUAUAACAAAGCAAUACAAGUAAAAACCAUAUUAAUCAACAAAGGAAAUUAAAACGGAAGCCAAGGCAUGAGCAAACUGCAAUGGCAAUUUAAAAAUUAGAAUAAACUAACCCAGCUCUGCCUACAGUAUAAAUCAACCCAAUCAAACAGUAAUAUUCUUAUGCACAAAAUAAGAUACUCCAUAGAACAAAAAUAAACCCAAUCAAACACAACCUUCAUUUAGAAAAAGAAAGCAAAUCAAAUACUACUGAAAGUGAAAACAAAUAGCAUCCUUGGAGCAUUCAAUUUCCUCCUAGAAUUCAAUCAUCGUGUGUCCAUGAUAACCCUAUAAAUAAAUAGAUUCCCCGUAAACUAUAUAUGUGACAUUGAAAAGAAUUAUAAGCUUAUAAAUUAUAAGAGUAUUAAUGAAAAGUUCAAAUAAAUCCUAUCGAAUCCUAAUGGAAACUUUUUAGAACCAACUCAAUACCAAACCAUCACACCGUUUUAAUGCAUCAAUCACAGUUCUAACCCUCUCAAAAUAAUUGUCGAGUUAUUCACAUAGCAGAACCGAUUUGAAUUCUUAAGAAGAGGAACUCAUUUGUUCAUUACCAGAGAAACCCAAUAGCAAAACCAAGCAAAAUACCGAACACGGAUAAUUAGUUCAAGAAACUAUGAGUUAAUUACAAACCAUAACGAGAAACAGUACCUCAGUUUGGUCCGAUAAGAUGACAUAGAUAGCAUGUAAAACUGAAUUUACAAUAACCGAUUCUUCAAUAUAUACAAUGGAAAAAAGAAAAUCUUUGAUGCGGCGGAUAUAAAACGAGCUAACGACCUGAAUCUUCGAACCGGUAAAGGAACCUCAAACUAUUUAAAUUGAAUGAGUUGGACGAACAAUUUCGAGCUGAUUUUCACACUAAUUUGGUGUAGUUUCAGGGCAUUUUUAGAGCUGGGUUUACUGCUGAGUUUGAGCUCCGUUUCGCUGGACUAACUGGGGGGUCACCGGAUUAACUUUCCCGUCAGAUUGAAGGUGAAGGCUGGAUGCGCCGUUGGUCUAUGCGGCUGUGUAUCUAUGUGUAUGUCUAUUAAGAGAUGAAGGAGGAUUUAAAGCCCUUUUUUGAAGGUCUGCUACUGAAGCUUUAAGCCAAAGAAAGAGCAGCCAUGAUUUUUGAACUAGGUUCCUUUUUUGUGUGGUAUCGUGUAUUAUGCUGAAGAUGAUGGGUGGGGUCCUUUUUUGGGUGUUCAGCGGCGGAUCCUUGGUCUAUGGUGGUCGUUUUUUUUGCUGAAGGAGAUGAAUGGAGUGGGGUCUUUUGAUUAGGUUAGGUGCUGCUCUUUUCAGAUUUUUGCGUUAGGUAGUCUAGGUCUCAGAGUCUAUCUUGUGUAUUUUUGGCUGAUUGUAGAGUGUAGGGAUAUAGGUUUUUGUAGGUUUUUUUUAGGUUAAGAGGUAUGGGUCUAGGGAUUAUGAGCUUGGAAAUUAUGGGCUAGAUCUGAAAAUUAGGCCUAAAAAUGGGUCGUUUGAGCCCAAAUUUUAUUCUUUCCCAACGAACGAGACUAAAAAUACGAUCUCAUUUAUUAAUUAAUCCUAUUUAAGUAAAAUAAC